RNAcentral lists this ribosomal RNA (459 nucleotides) under uncultured bacterium. RNAcentral describes it as "partial 16S ribosomal RNA". It matches the Rfam family "Bacterial small subunit ribosomal RNA", at positions 338 to 795 of the family's 1533-position model. The record is from RNAcentral.
ACUACGGGAGGCAGCCGUGAGGAAUAUUGGUCAAUGGCCGAGAGGCUGAACCAGCCAAGUCGCGUGAGGGAAGACGGCCCUACGGGUUGUAAACCUCUUUUGUCGGGGAGCAAAGCGCGUCACGUGUGACUCAUUGCGAGUACCCUACGAAAAAGCAUCGGCUAACUCCGUGCCAGCAGCCGCGGUAAUACGGAGGAUGCGAGCGUUAUCCGGAUUUAUUGGGUUUAAAGGGUGCGCAGGCGGAGGUGCAAGUCAGCGGUCAAAUUGCGGGGCUCAACCCCGGACUGCCGUUGAAACUGCAUCCCUUGAGUGCGCGAGAAGUAGGCGGAAUGCGUGGUGUAGCGGUGAAAUGCAUAGAUAUCACGCAGAACUCCGAUGGCGAAGGCAGCAUACCGGCGCGCAACUGACGCUCAUGCACGAAAGCGUGGGUAUCGAACAGGAUUAGAUACCCCUGUAGUC